AUGCACGACUUCGAUGCAAACAACCUUCGCCGUGCUGGAGGGACAUCCGCAGCUUGUUUUGUACGUCCCUCACGAGUACGAGAACCACCACCAUGAGAUGAUUCGCCAGCUAUUCCUUUGCCUUUGUCAAGUCGAGCAAUAGGUUCUUCAGUUUCUUCCGGGGAGCUCGCCUGAUAAUCCGGAUCAGACCCGGACGCUUCUUCAGUUGUGCGUGUCCUUUUAGAAACCCC
Molecule: long non-coding RNA, 230 nt
Filed under: Ananas comosus (pineapple)
Lineage: Eukaryota; Viridiplantae; Streptophyta; Magnoliopsida; Poales; Bromeliaceae
Description: long non-coding RNA (ACOM_LNC016801)
Source: RNAcentral